CCUAAUGUUUUAGGAGUCAGUCCAGAGCCGACUGAAGCCAUCAGAAAGCAUCUCAUCAGUGUCAGUGAGCUCUGGAUUGGCUCUGGGAUGAGUGAAAACUUGCCAAUUUCAGCUGYAUGUAUGACACCAAGAAACCUGCUGAAAAUAGACAGUUUACAUAUACAGAAACAGUUCCUGUUUAUCAGCUGCUGUUGUUCAGGGGUCAUCUCUCGCAAAUGAACUGUGACUGGAGCGUUGCUACGGAUGGGGACAYGUGCAGAGGUGGCUCUGAACUGCUGCGCUCCUCUGACAUUCGGAAAGAGCAGCUUCAGCCAGUUUAAAAAUGGAAGUGAUCACUUUUCACGCCAGUCAUGCACGUCCGUCCUUGUGGGCAACGCGAGGCGUGUGCGUAGAAAUGCYCUCUGGCACGGCGAGGCGACCUGUUGCAAAUCUGUUCAAUUUUUGUUCUCAUACCAAAUCRCAACAGCGACCUCAGCAAUACCAGCGUUGUCUGUGCACAAAUACAAAGUUAUCACAGAAGUUCUGUUUGACAACACAGCUCGGGUAGMGCGGCAGUUGUGUGGCCUUUCAGCGAGACGUAUAAACAAGUGCAGUGUUGUCAGAAUGGCUUAUCAGCGCUGCUCCAGAGAGGGCAAGAUAACAAGAGAUGCUAAAGACUUUCCCUUGGGAACUUGGAGCCACAAAGCUCGCACAAGGUCACCGUCUUCUUGUCCUGACGCUGAACCCACACUGGUCUCAGCUUGACCAGGCUUAAGAACUUGGACCAAGACAUCAUGUAACAGGAGUUCUGUAACCUGAAAGAAAAAUCUUUGGGUAUUGAAAAAAAGAUUUAUUUAUUUUUUUUUUUUUUAACCAUGGAUUUGAAAUCUGGUCAUUUUUGGAUUACUCUGCAACUGAAAUAGAGGGAAGAGGGAGAAAAUGAUGGUGUGGAGCAGAGAAACAGCCUUCACCGGGAGCAGACGUGCUCUUGCAUGGGCCAGAGACAGAUGUCUUCGAUUUGGUUGAACUAAGACUCUCACAAAAUCAUAUCCUGAACACAUGUAGUAUGUUUUUUGCUGCUCAUUUARUUCUGUUGAAAAYRAUCUCACUAGUCAGCGAGGCUCAUUGAACUUUAAUGGARCUUCCUGCAGCGUGAGAUGUUACACAACACGGGUCAGGAUCUGACCCAAAGAGAAGAAUUGCAUAAAGAGAUAUUACUCAACCUGAGAGAAAUGUCAGCGAGUUCAGUAUGC
Molecule: long non-coding RNA, 1232 nt
Organism: Dromaius novaehollandiae (emu)
Lineage: Eukaryota; Metazoa; Chordata; Aves; Casuariiformes; Dromaiidae
Source: Ensembl